AAGCUCGACGACGAGGAGUUGUCAUCGUACAUCUUGGCCAGGUUGGAUCUCGACUUCAACCCAAUUGUCUCCGCCAUCACCGCAAGGAGUGAACCCCUGACCUUGGGGGAACUCUACACCCAGCUCGUCGGCUUCGAGC
Panicum virgatum (switchgrass) is the source of this 139-nucleotide small nucleolar RNA. RefSeq annotates it as small nucleolar RNA Z247. The transcript has a single exon. Lineage: Eukaryota; Viridiplantae; Streptophyta; Magnoliopsida; Poales; Poaceae. The record is from RefSeq and is a predicted model, not a curated record.